Molecule: ribosomal RNA, 471 nt
Filed under: Streptococcus parasanguinis
Lineage: Bacteria; Bacillati; Bacillota; Bacilli; Lactobacillales; Streptococcaceae
Description: bacterial SSU rRNA
Rfam family: Bacterial small subunit ribosomal RNA
Source: RNAcentral
GAUGACGCUGGCGCGUGCUAUACAUGCAGUAGAACGCUGAAGCUUGGUGCUUGCACCGAGCGGAUGAGUUGCGAACGGGUGAGUAACGCGAAGGUAACCUGCCUCUUAGCGGGGGAUAACUAUUGGAAACGAUAGCUAAUACCGCAUAAAAGUCGAUAUCGCAUGAUGUUGACUUGAAAGGUGCAAUUGCAUCACUAAGAGAUGGACCUGCGUUGUAUUAGCUAGUUGGUGAGAUAACGGCUCACCAAGGCGACGAUACAUAGCCGACCUGAGAGGGUGAUCGGCCACACUGGGACUGAGACACGGCCCAGACUCCUACGGGAGGCAGCAGUAGGGAAUCUUCGGCAAUGGACGGAAGUCUGACCGAGCAACGCCGCGUGAGUGAAGAAGGUUUUCGGAUCGUAAAGCUCUGUUGUAAGAGAAGAACGAGUGUGAGAGUGGAAAUGUGCACAUCUCAGACUGGUUACCACC